GGAUGUGAGGGCCAUCUGGCUACGACAUCUGUCACCCCAUUGAUUCGGCUGAUCUGGCUGCCUAGGCGGGUGUCCCCUUCCUCCCUCAUCGCUCCACGAGUGUCCCUCCUGAAGCUGUGUGUUUAGGCAAAGAGGAUAACCAUCCCCGAUAGAGGAGAACCAUUCUUGGGUCAAGGGUAUAUGAGUAGCUACGCUCCCCUGCUAGAACCUCCAAACAAGCUAUCAAGGUCCAAUAAGAAAACUGUUUUGUGUAGAGAUCCUUAAAGUGUAUUUUUGGAUAAUAUUAUUGGUUCUUUGAAACUUUUUUUUGAUG
The sequence is an unclassified non-coding RNA, 313 nucleotides long. Its record names the gene 7SK. It matches the Rfam family "7SK RNA". From Rfam's summary of the family: 7SK was discovered as an abundant small nuclear RNA in the mid-70s but a possible function has only recently been suggested. Two independent studies have found that 7SK RNA binds the CDK9/cyclin T complex (known as elongation factor P-TEFb). P-TEFb activates transcription by phosphorylating the C-terminal domain of RNA polymerase II. The record is from Ensembl.